AGGAGAAGCAGUAGGAGUAGGAGGUGCUGGUGGUGGAGAAGUUACAACAGGAGGUGGGGAUGAAACUGUGGGGGGUGGUGAAGCAGUUGGUGGUGGCUGAGCCGGUGGUGUUUGGUUGUUAACUGGUGGAGGAGAACCAGUGGGUGUAGGUGGAGCUUGGGUAGCUGGUGUUGGAGGCGCUUGGGUAGUGGGUGUAGGUGGUGCUUGGUUAGUGGGUGUUGGAGGAGCCUGGUUAGUGGGUGUUGGUGGAGUCUGUGUAGGUGGUGCUUGAUUAGUAGGGGGUGCCUGUGUUGGUGGUGCCUGUGUAGGUGGUGCUUGGGUAGGGGGUGCCUGUGUUGGUGGUGCCUGCGUAGGUGGUGCUUGGUUAGUAGGGGGUGUCUGUGUUGGUGGUGCCUGUGUAGGUGGUGCUUGGGUAGGGGGUGUUGGAGGUGCUUGACCUCCAACCCCAGCGACGAUAAUGCAGAUCAUAAACCCCAACAAAACAGCAUUAUUCCUACCCAUCAUUUUGACAAUGGAGAGGAGGAAAUUAAAGGAAUGUGAAAGAAGAUAUCUGGUGCUGCUUGGGAAAAGAGAGGUUUGGGAAGGGAAUAUAUAAGAGAUUUUCUAAAAGAAGUAUGGUAUAUAUUUGAAGGUUGGAAAAGAAAGAGUAGAAAGGUGGCAAAUCCAAUUUGUAGUAACAGUGUGAGUUGUGACUACCAAAUACUUAUG
RNAcentral lists this long non-coding RNA (708 nucleotides) under Solanum tuberosum (potato). Its description in RNAcentral is "long non-coding RNA (STUB_LNC009691)". The record is from RNAcentral. Lineage: Eukaryota; Viridiplantae; Streptophyta; Magnoliopsida; Solanales; Solanaceae.